Molecule: ribosomal RNA, 475 nt
Filed under: Pomacanthus imperator (emperor angelfish)
Lineage: Eukaryota; Metazoa; Chordata; Actinopteri; Pomacanthidae
Description: partial small subunit ribosomal RNA
Rfam family: Bacterial small subunit ribosomal RNA
Source: RNAcentral
CACUAUGCCUAGCCGUAAACAUAGACAGUUCAUACACCCCACUGUCCGCCCGGGAACUACGAGCGUUAGCUUAAAACCCAAAGGACUUGGCGGUGCUUUAUACCCACCUAGAGGAGCCUGUUCUAGAACCGAUAAUCCCCGUUCAACCUCACCCUUCCUUGUUCUUUCCGCCUAUAUACCGCCGUCGUCAGUUUACCCUGUGAAGGCCUAAUAGUAAGCAAAAUCGGCACAGCCCAAAACGUCAGGUCGAGGUGUAGCGUAUGGAAGGGGAAGAAAUGGGCUACAUUCCCUGUUAUAGGGCAUACGAAUGAUUUUGCUGAAAUGCAUAUCUGAAGGAGGAUUUAGCAGUAAGCAGAAAGUAGAGAGUUCUGCUGAAGCCGGCUCUGAAGCGCGCACACACCGCCCGUCACUCUCCCCAGGCUAAAAUACUUAAAUAACUAAAGCACCACAACUGCAAAGGGGAGGCAAGUCGUAA